Molecule: ribosomal RNA, 492 nt
Filed under: uncultured bacterium
Lineage: Bacteria
Description: partial 16S ribosomal RNA
Rfam family: Bacterial small subunit ribosomal RNA
Source: RNAcentral
AGUGAACGCUGGCGGUAGGCCUAACACAUGCAAGUCGAACGGCAGCACAGUAAGAGCUUGCUCUUACGGGUGGCGAGUGGCGGACGGGUGAGGAAUACAUCGGAAUCUACUUUUUCGUGGGGGAUAACGUAGGGAAACUUACGCUAAUACCGCAUACGACCUAACGGUGAAAGCAGGGGAUCUUCGGACCUUGCGCGAUUGAAUGAGGCGAUGUCGGAUUAGCUAGUUGGCGGGGUAAAGGCCCACCAAGGCGACGAUCCGUAGCUGGUCUGAGAGGAUGAUCAGCCACACUGGAACUGAGACACGGUCCAGACUCCUACGGGAGGCAGCAGUGGGGAAUAUUGGACAAUGGGCGCAAGCCUGAUCCAGCCAUACCGCGUGGGUGAAGAAGGCCUUCGGGUUGUAAAGCCCUUUUGUUGGGAAAGAAAAGCAGCAGGUUAAUACCCCGCUGUUCUGACGGUACCCAAAGAAUAAGCACCGGCUAACUUCGUG